GACGAACGCUGGCGGCGUGCUUAACACAUGCCAGUCGAACGGAAAGGCCCUGCUUGCAGGGUACUCGAGUGGCGAACGGGUGAGUAACACGUGGGUGAUCUGCCCUGCACUUCGGGAUAAGCUUGGGAAACUGGGUCUAAUACCGGAUAGGACCGCACUUUAGUGUGUGUGGUGGAAAGUUUUUUCGGUGUAGGAUGAGCUCGCGGCCUAUCAGCUUGUUGGUGGGGUAAUGGCCUACCAAGGCGGCGACGGGUAGCCGGCCUGAGAGGGUGUACGGCCACAUUGGGACUGAGAUACGGCCCAGACUCCUACGGGAGGCAGCAGUGGGGAAUAUUGCACAAUGGGCGCAAGCCUGAUGCAGCGACGCCGCGUGGGGGAUGAAGGCCUUCGGGUUGUAAACUCCUUUCGCUAGGGACGAAGCUUUGUUGUGACGGUACCUAGAUAAGAAGCACCGGCUAACUACGUG
RNAcentral lists this ribosomal RNA (466 nucleotides) under uncultured bacterium. Its description in RNAcentral is "partial 16S ribosomal RNA". It matches the Rfam family "Bacterial small subunit ribosomal RNA", at positions 28 to 507 of the family's 1533-position model. The record is from RNAcentral.